This 928-nucleotide ribosomal RNA is filed under the name Bacillus amyloliquefaciens. Its description in RNAcentral is "bacterial SSU rRNA". It matches the Rfam family "Bacterial small subunit ribosomal RNA", at positions 107 to 1015 of the family's 1533-position model. Lineage: Bacteria; Bacillati; Bacillota; Bacilli; Caryophanales; Bacillaceae. The record is from RNAcentral.
UGAGUAACACGUGGGUAACCUGCCUGUAAGACUGGGAUAACUCCGGGAAACCGGGGCUAAUACCGGAUGGUUGUUUGAACCGCAUGGUUCAGACAUAAAAGGUGGCUUCGGCUACCACUUACAGAUGGACCCGCGGCGCAUUAGCUAGUUGGUGAGGUAACGGCUCACCAAGGCGACGAUGCGUAGCCGACCUGAGAGGGUGAUCGGCCACACUGGGACUGAGACACGGCCCAGACUCCUACGGGAGGCAGCAGUAGGGAAUCUUCCGCAAUGGACGAAAGUCUGACGGAGCAACGCCGCGUGAGUGAUGAAGGUUUUCGGAUCGUAAAGCUCUGUUGUUAGGGAAGAACAAGUGCCGUUCAAAUAGGGCGGCACCUUGACGGUACCUAACCAGAAAGCCACGGCUAACUACGUGCCAGCAGCCGCGGUAAUACGUAGGUGGCAAGCGUUGUCCGGAAUUAUUGGGCGUAAAGGGCUCGCAGGCGGUUUCUUAAGUCUGAUGUGAAAGCCCCCGGCUCAACCGGGGAGGGUCAUUGGAAACUGGGGAACUUGAGUGCAGAAGAGGAGAGUGGAAUUCCACGUGUAGCGGUGAAAUGCGUAGAGAUGUGGAGGAACACCAGUGGCGAAGGCGACUCUCUGGUCUGUAACUGACGCUGAGGAGCGAAAGCGUGGGGAGCGAACAGGAUUAGAUACCCUGGUAGUCCACGCCGUAAACGAUGAGUGCUAAGUGUUAGGGGGUUUCCGCCCCUUAGUGCUGCAGCUAACGCAUUAAGCACUCCGCCUGGGGGAGUACGGUCGCAAGACUGAAACUCAAAGGAAUUGACGGGGGCCCGCACAAGCGGUGGAACAUGUGGUUUAAUUCGAAGCAACGCGAAGAAACCUUACCAGGGUCUUGACAUCCUUCUGACAAUCCUAGAGAUAGGAACGU